GCAGUGCUGGUUCAGUGGUAGAAUUCUUGUCUUCUAUACAGGAGGCCCAGGUUUGAUUCCUGGCCAUUACA
Trichechus manatus latirostris (Florida manatee) is the source of this 71-nucleotide non-coding RNA. Lineage: Eukaryota; Metazoa; Chordata; Mammalia; Sirenia; Trichechidae. The record is from the annotation of a RefSeq genome assembly.